Molecule: long non-coding RNA, 804 nt
Organism: Arachis duranensis
Lineage: Eukaryota; Viridiplantae; Streptophyta; Magnoliopsida; Fabales; Fabaceae
Exons: 3
Source: RefSeq, a predicted model, not a curated record
UACCAUCUGAUCUACCAUGUUGAUAAAAGAAAGGAAUAGAAUAGUAUAGGUAGUGACAAAGGUAUAGAUUCAAGGAGAAAUAGAAUGAUAUUAGUGUGACAUCACCGUAUUUCUCAAGAUAGUAUUAUUCAUGAAAGGAAGGUAGAAGAAGGGCAGUAUUUCAAGAGGCUUCCAUUCUCCUAUGGAUCUGUCCUAGGCUGCAAAGGAAAGUGUUCCUGAUUUCUUAACUCAAGAAAGAGUGACAACUAUAAAGCUAACAUAUGAAUUCUUUCACCGCUGAAAAUUUCUAUCUUUUAGGCAAGUUGUCGUCAAAUUUCACUCACAAAUUUUAGAAGCAUUUUCGAAAUUUGAUAUAACCACCGCCCAAGCACGGAAUAGGCUCCAUCGAGAUAUCAAAAUAUUCUUCAAUGUAUACGGUCUUUACCAACGAGUGGCUUGAGUAAAUCAGAUGCCCCAAAUUAGGGCAGCUGGAUGACUUCAUGGUGCAAAAAUUUGGAACUGAUGCUGUUCCGUAAAAGAUAUUGUAAAGUAGCAACUCAACUGGUUAUGUUGGAAGGCUAACAUUGGAGGAUGUAGGGAUGAUUUUAACCUUUUUCACUUUGCAUUUUUGUGUAACACUAAUUUGAGGUAAUACCAUCACUAGAUUUUGUUUAACUUUAUAUGCAAAUGAAUUCUAUAUCAUCUUCAUCAUUUAAUAUUGGAUUGGCGCCAGUCCAUGUACGAGAUUGAAUUGUACAUAGAGAUGAAAUAGCUAUACUUUCUUGCCAUGAUAUUGUGUAUUUGUUGUAACAGAUAUUUGCCUAA